This 21-nucleotide non-coding RNA is filed under the name Arabidopsis thaliana (thale cress). Lineage: Eukaryota; Viridiplantae; Streptophyta; Magnoliopsida; Brassicales; Brassicaceae. The record is from RNAcentral.
UAAUUAUAAUAUGGUUGCUAC